Molecule: non-coding RNA, 102 nt
Organism: Flavobacterium sp. LM5
Lineage: Bacteria; Pseudomonadati; Bacteroidota; Flavobacteriia; Flavobacteriales; Flavobacteriaceae
Source: Rfam
UUUUAACCCCGAUAGGAGCGGCAUCCUUUUUUUAUAAAGCUGACAGGUGUUAAAGACCUGUCAGCUUUAUAAAAAAAGAUAUAGCGGAUAGCGGGACUUUGC